GGGGAGUACGGUCGCAAGACCGAAACUCAAAGGAAUUGACGGGGGCCUGCACAAGCGGUGGAGCAUGUGGUUUAAUUUGAUACAACGUGCAAAACCUUACCAGCCCUUGACAUAUAAACAACAAAACCUGUCCUUAACAUGAUGGUACUGACUUUCAUACAGGUGCUGCAUGGCUGUCGUCAGCUCAUGUCAUGAGAUGUUUGGUCAAGUCCUAUAACGAGCGAAACCCUCGUUUUGUGUUGCUGAGACAUGCGCCUAAGGAGAAAUUGCCACCGAGUGACGUGCCAGCGCUACUACUUGAUUGAGUGCCAGCACGUAGCUGUGCUUUCAGCAUGAAUUUCACCAUUGGGAGCCGGUGCCUUCCGAAGCACUUUCACGUGUGAAACGAAGUCGUCUUGCCCAAGACCCACAGAGACCUACCUAUAGUGACGUCAAAGUACCAGUGAGCAUGGAGGUUCGGUUGAAAUUGGUUACGACGAUGUCGACUUGGCGGCGGAGGAAGACUCGUCAUGAAGGCCAGAAAAUGGUGUGGAACGUAGUGGUAAUACUACGCACCCCGCUCCGAAUGAAAGAAAAAGUGCGUGCCACACUCACGAGGGACUGCCAGUGAGAUACUCGAGGAAGGUGGGGAUGACGUAAAGUCCGCAUGGCCCUUAUGGGCUGGGCCACACACGUGCUACAAUGGCAAUGAUAAUGGGAAGCAAGGCUGUAAGGCGGAGCGAAUCCAUAAAGAUUGCCUCAGUUCGGAUUGUUCUCUGCAACUCGGGAACAUGAAGUUGAAAUUGCUAGUAAUCGCGGAUCAGCAUGCCGCGGUGAAUAUGUACCCGGGCCCUACACACACCGCCCGUCACACCCUGGGAAUUGGUUUCGCCCGAAGCAUCGGACCAAUGAGCACCCAUGACUUCUGUAUACCACUAGUGCCACAAAGGCCUUUGGUGGUCUUAUUGGCACAUACCACGGUGGGGUCUUCGACUGGGGUGAAGUCGUAACAAGGUAGCCGUAGGGGAACCUGUGGCUG
This 1018-nucleotide ribosomal RNA is filed under the name Triticum dicoccoides. Its description in RNAcentral is "rRNA SSU_rRNA_eukarya". It matches the Rfam family "Bacterial small subunit ribosomal RNA", at positions 875 to 1520 of the family's 1533-position model. The record is from RNAcentral. Lineage: Eukaryota; Viridiplantae; Streptophyta; Magnoliopsida; Poales; Poaceae.